This 208-nucleotide long non-coding RNA is filed under the name Capsicum annuum. RNAcentral describes it as "long non-coding RNA (CANN_LNC021828)". The record is from RNAcentral. Lineage: Eukaryota; Viridiplantae; Streptophyta; Magnoliopsida; Solanales; Solanaceae.
ACCCACUUGAUUAAAAUUGAUUUUGACAAUUUAACUCAGAUUGUUGAUCCUAAAGAGAAAAAUUGUUAUCGACUUAGCGUUAACUUAGUUAGCAAAAGCUAUUAUUUUUAGCUUUUUUAUCUCCAUCAAGUAUUUGAUAUAAUUCCUUUUCUUAAUGAAUAUUUCUAAAAGUUAUGGCUAAGAUUGCUAUUUGAACAAUGAAAAGAAA